RNAcentral lists this non-coding RNA (79 nucleotides) under uncultured Bacteroides sp. The record is from RNAcentral. Lineage: Bacteria; Pseudomonadati; Bacteroidota; Bacteroidia; Bacteroidales; Bacteroidaceae.
GUAACAACGAACCAUGAGAAGUCAGCAGAUGUCAUAGUAGCAGAGUAAGGAAAAAAAAAUCAAUACCUCUGUGAAGGAC